RNAcentral lists this ribosomal RNA (429 nucleotides) under Pseudomonadota bacterium. Its description in RNAcentral is "Proteobacteria bacterium partial 16S ribosomal RNA". It matches the Rfam family "Bacterial small subunit ribosomal RNA", at positions 355 to 776 of the family's 1533-position model. Lineage: Bacteria; Pseudomonadati; Pseudomonadota. The record is from RNAcentral.
UGGGGAAUAUUGGACAAUGGGCGAAAGCCUGAUCCAGCCAUGCCGCGUGUGUGAAGAAGGUCUUCGGAUUGUAAAGCACUUUAAGUUGGGAGGAAGGGCAGUAAGCGAAUACCUUGCUGUUUUGACGUUACCGACAGAAUAAGCACCGGCUAACUCUGUGCCAGCAGCCGCGGUAAUACAGAGGGUGCAAGCGUUAAUCGGAAUUACUGGGCGUAAAGCGCGCGUAGGUGGUUCGUUAAGUUGAAUGUGAAAGCCCCGGGCUCAACCUGGGAACUGCAUCCAAAACUGGCGAGCUUGAGUAGUGCAGAGGGUGGUGGAAUUUCUUGUGUAGCGGUGAAAUGCGUAGAUAUAGGAAGGAACACCAGUGGCGAAGGCGACCACCUGGGCUCAUACUGACACUGAGGUGCGAAAGCGUGGGGAGCAAACAGG